UGGGGAAUCUUGCACAAUGGGCGGAAGCCUGAUGCAGCGACGCCGCGUGGGGGAUGACGGCCUUCGGGUUGUAAACUCCUUUCGCCAGGGACGAAGCCGUGAGGUGACGGUACCUGGAUAAGAAGCACCGGCUAACUACGUGCCAGCAGCCGCGGUAAUACGUAGGGUGCAAGCGUUGUCCGGAAUUACUGGGCGUAAAGAGCUCGUAGGUGGUUUGUCGCGUCGUCUGUGAAAUUCCGGGGCUUAACUCCGGGCGUGCAGGCGAUACGGGCAUAACUGGAGUGCUGUAGGGGAGACUGGAAUGCCUGGUGUAGCGGUGAAAUGCGCAGAUAUCAGGAGGAACACCGAUGGCGAAGGCAGGUCUCUGGGCAGUAACUGACGCUGAGGAGCGAAAGCAUGGGUAGCGAACAGG
Molecule: ribosomal RNA, 412 nt
Filed under: Acidobacteriota bacterium
Lineage: Bacteria; Pseudomonadati; Acidobacteriota
Description: Acidobacteria bacterium partial 16S ribosomal RNA
Rfam family: Bacterial small subunit ribosomal RNA
Source: RNAcentral